This 94-nucleotide small nucleolar RNA is filed under the name Oryza longistaminata (longstamen rice). RNAcentral describes it as "snoRNA snoZ256". RNAcentral also lists the same sequence under 2 other names. The record is from RNAcentral. Lineage: Eukaryota; Viridiplantae; Streptophyta; Magnoliopsida; Poales; Poaceae.
AUUUGCCAUCGAUGUUUACUUCGGCAACUUGGGCCUGGCUAACUAGCCUCCUCAAGAAUACUAUCGACUCAUGAGCCGAGUUAAAGGUCCAGUU